Long non-coding RNA from Esox lucius (northern pike), 2036 nucleotides. NCBI's taxonomy places the organism in Eukaryota, Metazoa, Chordata, Actinopteri, Esociformes, Esocidae. The record is from Ensembl.
GUCCUUGAUUGUCCCUGUCUUUGCCCACCAUGUUGUGCAGCAGACUUGGACUCUGAUCACAACCUACUGAUCAUGCAAAAACAUUGACAUGGCCCCACUUGUAUACGACCUAAAUAAACAAAUAUAGUGACUUAAUUGGGCGGGGCUCAAGUCAUUCUAGUUUUUUAAUCUUUCCCCACAAAUGCUGCCAUAUUGAGUGAUGUCAAACCUAACGUUACUUCUCGGAGCUCUCAAACUGCAUUUGAUUGUGAAAGUAGAGGCAAGUUUUUUCCAUCCUUUGUCCCUCCCUUCAUGAGUCCUGUUUUAAAUACAGAGCAAGCUUAGUUGGGAGAAGAGCAUCUCCUUCUUGAAUGCACCAGUGACUUCCAUUAGCCAGACGGUGACAACCACAGCGUCUUUUUUACUUGAAGAGGUCUUCGAAAAUACAGAAUUACAGGAAUGGACAGUCAAAGCAGAGCUGUGUUUGCAGUCAUCACAGUGAUGGCGUACAUGGGGAUGGGAGCUGAGGCACAGAACACCAAAACAGCAGGCUCAGGAAUCAUCUCAAGGGCAAAUUGUGGAACCACACAGUUCUGUGCUGCUCAGCCAGCAGGCUGUGACCCAUCUGUGUCUGGUUCCUGUUUCUUCGUCUCAACCAGUUUAAACUCGGGACAGAACUUUUCAUUUCAGCUUCAAGGACAAUCCAACUUCUACGUCGCUCUAGUGUUGUCCAAAAACUUUACAAAGUUGUCUUCAAACUUAACAAUGCUCUCUCUGAAUGGACAAAUUGACAUCUAUGUGUGUUUUAACAUCAACUACAUCAGCAUCAUAAAUUCCACACUUGGAAUGAUUCCUAACCUGCUGCCCUCUAACCUGAUGAUCGGCUCAGUCAGUGGUCAGACCAUCCAGUGCAUCUUCUCUGCUUUAGUCCCCAAUGCUACUUCCACCAAGAGCAGCAGUACCACCUUUUUUAUUUCCAUCUACAAUGGGACCGUGACUAAUGGAAUCCCAAGUUUUCCUGAGCCUGUCUUUAUAAGCGAUGCAGCCGUGGACCUGUCCAACCCCAAAGCCACUGCAACCAACAGUCGUGCUGAGAUUAUUACUUAGUAGCAUGAAUAGGGUUGAGGGUUUUAUUGGACCCUGUAUAUAUAUUAUUAUUAUUAUUAGCAAUACAGGUAUUACAUUGUGAGCACUUACACAAUUACACAAAGAUAAAUUGUUUAAGUGUUAUUACCAUAGGGCCUAGUUCCUUAUCAUUCCAUAGGCCAUAUAAUAUAUAUAUAAUUGAAUAUUUUAUUCCAUAAUAUGCAAUAGGGUCCAAUCAUCUCUAAUGUCUCUGUCUUCACAGCUCUGCUGAUCCUGCUUGGUGGACUAGUUUUCAUCAUGCUGUAAUGUGGAUCUCAGUAGUAAACCACUUCACAUUCCGGAAUUCUGGACCUCUAUGGUUACUGAAGCCAACCAGUCUGGGUUCCCAAGAAUGAAACUAUUUUGAGCAGGGGUAGUAAAGGGUAGUAAGACAUUAGCCUACAGAAUUAAUCCAGUAAUAUAAGUUUAAUGUUGUGUUUACAGUCAAGGCCUUUUCAGGUACAUUAAGCAUUGUUCAACCUCAUUACCUCCAGGAUUACCCCAACAUCAACACGUGUUAAAUUUUGUGACCACAAAACAUAAAAGCCUAGAUUAUAUUGAUGUUGUAUUGAGAAAAUGAAAAUGAGGUAUACACCUAAAACAUCCACCAUGUGUAAUUAUUUGUUUGAGCCCAGUCAUCUUUUACUUCAUCUUACCUGAUGUCCAGUUAUGAAGGAGGACAAUUUUGUCAGAGUGUGUGUGUGUGUGUGUGCAUGGAGUGUAAAUAUUUGCUACAUAUUUGUGUCUAAUGAUGCCACAAGUUGGCAGAAACUGAUACUUGUGUGUUUGUUCUUCAUGAUUUCCCUUCAUGAUUGAAGUUUGAAAUGUAUUUAAUAAGCCUCCUUAGUCUGGAUCCGCGGAUGGAGCCCUCUGUGCACAUUUGCAUAAUAUAAAAAAUACUAUAAUCACUAGAAUCAUGUUUUUUUUAUAGA